Molecule: long non-coding RNA, 377 nt
Filed under: Vulpes vulpes (red fox)
Lineage: Eukaryota; Metazoa; Chordata; Mammalia; Carnivora; Canidae
Description: lncRNA (ENSVVUG00000017307.1)
Source: RNAcentral
CAAUAAUCUGCUUUUGGAGGUGGUCAGAUCACAUAAUCAGGGCUGAGCUCAAGAUGCAGAACAGGCUUGUGUGGGAGUGCUGGGCUAGCCUCCUGCUUUCCAGUUGCUGUGACGGUGGUAGAGAUGAGCAAGCUUUGUUCACCUCACUUUGCUACCUCUGGGCUCAGAGCGCUACUGCAACUGACCUUCAUCUGGAGAUGCACGUUGCGGAGACAGAACCAGAGAGCCUCCUUUCCCAUGUGGCUCUCUGGGCAGCUCAGCAGGUCCAGCUCAGGGCUGGAAUAGCCCUGUCCACUCCUCACCUCAUGUCCUCCCAUCUGGGAAGCCACCUUGCCUGUCCUGUCCUGGUUCCUCUGUCUCCUCCGAGGCUUUGCUGA